Molecule: long non-coding RNA, 439 nt
Filed under: Nicotiana tabacum (common tobacco)
Lineage: Eukaryota; Viridiplantae; Streptophyta; Magnoliopsida; Solanales; Solanaceae
Description: long non-coding RNA (NTAB_LNC005422)
Source: RNAcentral
CACGGGCGCUCCCCAUAUUCUUUAGCUCCUUAACAGAUUUGCUUAUCCUGUCAAUUGUAUCGCUCAUUUGUUCCACACAAUCUUUAAGAGCUGCAUAUUCUCUUGGCUUCAACCCCUUGAAUUUACACAGCUUGUUGACAAAUGCUUGUGUGGAUUGUGCCCUGUCAAGGCUCACUGACAACGCAGUUUGUGCUAGUUGUUGUGGGCUACGUUUUAUGGCUGGUGCGAACCCCGCUAAGGAAGUGAAGCAUACUUCAGGGUAAGUGGUGAAUUUGCACGAGCUCUUGAUGAAACUGGUGGCGACUGUGGCGGAAUUCGCCGUGCCGGAGAAGCAGAAAAGAGAGAGCACAGCUGCUAGCAGUAUAAGCUUCAGUGCUGCCAUUUGUUUUUUCUUAAGAAAUGGAUGUUGGGGGAUAUGACUAAAUUGGGGGCAUGGCCU